AACGUAGGACGCGAGCGUUAUCCGGAGUUACUGGGCGUAAAGGGCAGGCAGGCGGACAGACAAGCGUUGUGUGAAAUCUCUCUGGCUUAACCGGGAGGGCGCAUGGCGGACUGUCUGACUAGAGGGCAGCAGAGGAGCGUGGAAUUCCGGGUGGAGUAGUGAAAUGCGUAGAGAUCCGGAGGAACGCCAGAGGCGAAAGCGGGGCUCUGGGCUGCACCUGACGCUGAACUGCGAAAGCCAGGGGAGCGAACGGG
RNAcentral lists this ribosomal RNA (254 nucleotides) under uncultured bacterium. Its description in RNAcentral is "partial 16S ribosomal RNA". It matches the Rfam family "Bacterial small subunit ribosomal RNA", at positions 524 to 776 of the family's 1533-position model. The record is from RNAcentral.